AUUGAACGCUAGCGGGAUGCUUUACACAUGCAAGUCGAACGGCAGCACGAGGAGCUUGCUCCUUGGUGGCGAGUGGCGGACGGGUGAGUAAUAUAUCGGAAUGUGCCCAGUAGCGGGGGAUAACUACUCGAAAGGGUGGCUAAUACCGCAUACGCCUACCGGGGGAAAGGGGGGGGAAGGUCUUCGGACCUCUCACUAUUGGUAGCAGCCGAUAUCAGAUUAGCUAGUUGGUUGGGGG
This 238-nucleotide ribosomal RNA is filed under the name uncultured bacterium. Its description in RNAcentral is "partial 16S ribosomal RNA". It matches the Rfam family "Bacterial small subunit ribosomal RNA", at positions 30 to 259 of the family's 1533-position model. The record is from RNAcentral.